Molecule: long non-coding RNA, 3324 nt
Filed under: Manduca sexta (tobacco hornworm)
Lineage: Eukaryota; Metazoa; Arthropoda; Insecta; Lepidoptera; Sphingidae
Description: uncharacterized LOC119189574, transcript variant X3
Source: RNAcentral
CCAUACUGAGGAGUAUUACUGCCAGUGUCAACUGUCAUGUGACGCAUUCAUGUCUAAAAUUAUUGUCAAAAAUAAAAUUUUUAGGGUAAAUUUAAGACAAUGUGUUACUAUUACGAAAGGUGUUAAUUAAUGAUGCAUGCUGACACAGAAGGUUAGUUUCAAUCAUAAAUGUAUAUUAUGAAUCGUUAGGAAUGAAACAAGUGUUUUUAUAUAUAUUUUGUUACUUAGGCUGAGGAUGGAUGAUAUAUUAGCAGGGAGAGGAGCCCCAUUAUCAACCAACAUGUCAUAAAAAGAAGGAGAUGAGUAACGGGGACAGCUAAAAAGUAUAUGUGGAACGGUUCCCUCAUCCAGGCCACACUCACAUAUAGACGAGUCUCUUAUGUGUAAUUUAUAUAAGUGCACUGGAGACGAGCAAUGACCAAUUCUCAACCGAGAUAUGGUGGCAGAGAUAUGUUUGCUGAAACGUAAUUUGGAAAACCAAGGCCUAGAAGUUAUGUAAGGUUGAAUUUUGUACAGGUUACCUCCUUUAAGGGUACUAGAGUUCCUCCAACUGGUGUUCCAUGCCAGCUCUAGGUCUUGUUUGGCCAAAGUAGAAAGGUCAAAAGAAUACACUGAGAAGUACUCAUCGUUACCAUGAACAAUAGCAUCUUUGGCUAAUUGAUCUACUGUUUCAUUACCUUUAAUACCUAUAUGGCCUGGAAUCCAAGCCACCGACACUUGAAUGUGUUCUACAUUACAUAAUUUAAUCAAAUGCUUAAUUUCUAGAGACAGUGGGUGAAUACAAUUUUUAGCAAAAGGGUUGCUAAGAAGAGACUGGACACAACUUUUAGAGUCGGAAAAAAUUAUAGAAGGCGAAAUAUUGUUAACUCUGAUGUAUUUAAUACAUUCCCUAAUAGCUAAAAAUUCACCAGAAAAUACCGAACAAUAGUGUGGAAAUUUAUAUGAAAAGGAUAUAUUGGCAUUCCAGUGUAAAAAAGCAACACCAACAGGGCUUUCUUUACUUAAUUUAUUUAGAGGCAUCUGUGAAAAAAAUCUUAGCUUGGGGCCAACGUUUCUGAAUAAUGAGUUUUAAUUUAGAAUCUGGAUUAGCAGUCUGUUUAUCUAUACCAAGAGAUAACUCCACAGAAGGGGUUGAAAUUUUAGAGCUAAACUCAACUGAAAAUGCUGGAUGUAUUUUAAAUUUAUUAAUAGCACAAGAUAUACCUUCUAGCCUCCUGUAACUUUCAAUAAGACAGGGGAGGCAGCAAAAGGGUGGCAAAAUCUAAAUGACUCCUCACAAUAGCAUUAUAUAAUAAUCUGAGGGAGUAAGGAUGUGCUCCCCACCAGACACCCCUUAAACAUCGCAAAAUAUUAAUGUUGCUCUCACAUUUAUUAACAAUAUGGUCUAUGUGCGCUACACCGUUCAUUCUACUGUCAAAUAUUUUACCCAAAAAUUUUACCUCUUUCUUUACUGGAAUUAGGGUCCCAUUGCACUCAACAUCAAUAUGGGGUAUCUGACGUUUUCUAGAAAAGACAACGACUACACUUUUGGAGGCUGAUAGGUCUAAAUAAUUAUUAUUCAGCCAUGAGGAUAGUACAGUCAUGCCACUUUCAAUAUUAUCCUUUGCUACGCUUAUAGAAUUAUUAGAAGAAUAAAUAAGGAGGUCAUCAGCAUACUGUAAGAUAUUACACCCAUCCGAUAUGUGAUGAUCUAUAUCGGUAGUGUAAACAUCAUACAGCAGAGGGCUGAUUACAGAACCUUGAGGUAAUCCUUUCCAUACAGUUCUAGUGGCAGCUUGAAUGCCUGGAUGUCUCAAUGAUAUAGUCCUACCUGAUGAGAGGUUAAAAAGAAAAUUUGUUAUCUUUUCAGGAACCCUUAGCUGAACUAAUUUGUUCCUAAGGACCCAAAGAUUAACAUUAUCAUAUGCCGCUGAAACAUCGAGGAAGCCAGCUACCACUGACUUGUUUUGACUAAAUGCCAACUGAAUGUUAGUAGUGAAAAUGGCAUGACUAUCGGAAAUACUCCGGCCUUUCCUGAAUCCAUAUUGAGAAUCUGCCAGUAAAGAAUGGUGCUCUAGGAACCAUUCUAAUCUGUUUUUUAUCAAGUGUUCUACUACUUUGGGCAUGGUAGAUGAGAGCGCUAUAGGCCGAUAUGAAAGUGAAUUACAAGGGUCUUUCCCUGGUUUGGGAACGGGUACAAUUAAUUGAUGUUUCCAAUUUUCCGGAAUAACUCCAGAAUCAACAAUUAAAUUAAUCAAGUUUAAAAAAUAACUAAGGGAACUAUUCCGGGAUUUUGAAAGAAAGGAAUAAGGGAUACCAUCAGGACCAGGGGAAGAGUCCCUGAUAUGGCUGAGUACUAAUUUUAAUUCUUGAAAAGUAUAAGGGGAGUCUAAAAUAGAAGAAAUAGCCCGGGGGGAAUAUAAAUAGGGAAUUUGAUAGAAAUUAGGAACUGAAGGGGGGAGCUAGCCUGUCUAAAAAAAUCAUCUACCCAGCUUAUUGAGUAGGAAGAAAGGGAACGGUGAUUACGAGACAAUCUAUAAUACUUCAUUUUUUUCCAAACGAGAGACGAAGGAGUUUCAGGCGUUAUAGACGCACAAAAUGUGCGCCAGCCUUGACGUUUUUUUUUACUUAAAAGUCUUUUCGUAGCAGCACUCGCAUUACGAUAGUUUAGGAAAGAGUCAAGGUUAAUGUCAGUGGAACAGAGUGCUUCUGCUUCAUAUCUCCUUUUAAUAGAAUCAGUACACUCUGAAUCCCACCAGGGGGGGGAAGGGAUUUUGCCUAAGACAACAUUUUUUUUAUUAAAUAUCGCCUCUGCAGAAGCAAGUAUAGAAUCUUUAAAUCCCUCACAACAUUCUUUAAUAUUAGAUAACUGAGGUUCAGGAAGCAAAUUCGUUUUUUCUUCAAGUAAAGCGCCAUAGAGACCCCAUUUAGAAGAAUCUAUGAUGUAAGGUAGAAGAGGAGGAAGAAUAGGAACAUUAAUAUUUUGAGAAGGAAAUGAAAUUAGGAUAGGAAAAUGGUCGGAACCAUGAGAGUAAGGAAGACGUGACCACGAUAAUAAGGAAGCUAAAGAGGGAGAGCAAAAAGAGAUGUCAACAUAACUGGGUUGAAUAUUGGGCGGAGUGCGGCGAGUAGGGGACCCAUCAUUUAACACACAUAGGUCAAAUUCGUCUAGGAGAUCCAAAAGUCUGUUACUGAAAGAGUCAUUAUUUGGAGCACCCCAGAUCUGGUUGUGGCAAUUGAAAUCACCCAUUAAUAAUAUAGGAGGGGAAACAGAAGAUAAAAAUCUACGUAACGUGGGAAUAACCGAGUUAUCCCGUCUCGAAAUAUAUACAGAAAUAAAAGAAA